UACGAAGGGGGCUAGCGUUGCUCGGAAUUACUGGGCGUAAAGGGAGCGUAGGCGGAUAGUUCAGUCAGAGGUGAAAGCCCAGGGCUCAACCUUGGAAUUGCCUUUGAUACUGGCUGUCUUGAGUAUGGGAGAGGUUAGCGGAACUCCGAGUGUAGAGGUGAAAUUCGUAGAUAUUACGGAAGAACACCAGUGGCGAAGGCGGCUAACUGGCCCAUUACUGACGACUGAGGCUGGAAAG
Molecule: ribosomal RNA, 238 nt
Filed under: uncultured bacterium
Lineage: Bacteria
Description: partial 16S ribosomal RNA
Rfam family: Bacterial small subunit ribosomal RNA
Source: RNAcentral